GGUGGGAUGGCCGAGUGGUUAGGCAACGGUCUGCAAAACCGUUUACACGGGUUCGAUUCCCGUUCUCACCUCAA
This 74-nucleotide transfer RNA is filed under the name Corynebacterium maris DSM 45190. RNAcentral describes it as "tRNA-Cys". It matches the Rfam family "tRNA". From Rfam's summary of the family: Transfer RNA (tRNA) molecules are approximately 80 nucleotides in length. Lineage: Bacteria; Bacillati; Actinomycetota; Actinomycetes; Mycobacteriales; Corynebacteriaceae. The record is from RNAcentral.